CGGAAAUUUGCUAUGAAGGAGACGGGAACCCCAGAUGUGCGCAUCGACACCAGGCUCAACAAAGUUGUCUGGCCCAAAGGAACAAGGAAUGUUCCAUACCAUAUCCAUGUGCGCUGUCACUUUUACACAU
Molecule: long non-coding RNA, 130 nt
Organism: Prionailurus viverrinus (fishing cat)
Lineage: Eukaryota; Metazoa; Chordata; Mammalia; Carnivora; Felidae
Exons: 3
Source: RefSeq, a predicted model, not a curated record